Molecule: long non-coding RNA, 338 nt
Filed under: Homo sapiens (human)
Lineage: Eukaryota; Metazoa; Chordata; Mammalia; Primates; Hominidae
Description: HSALNT0242300
Source: RNAcentral
GACCACCGCCCCCUCCCCCCGAUAAAAGAAACCCCGAAGGCCUUUUUUAGGGUCCCCCCAAAACCAAGCUGCCAAAAACAGUUAAUCCCGCUUUAAAAAAAAAAAUGAAAAAAAAAAAAUCUCCAAGCGCCCUGUGUGUGGGUCGCCUCCCCCAAUCAAGCUGCCGAAGACAGCCAGCCCCGCUUCAAAAGCCCGAGCGGCCUGGUACGGUCGCCCCCACCCAAAUUAGCAAAGCGGCGUCUGGGGCCGGUGGGAGCGCGCGCCCUGCCCGCGAAGCAGCCGCGGUGUCGCCGGCUCACAUCGUCCGAGACGGUGUCAGCGGGGCUGGCAGCCCGGGC